RNAcentral lists this long non-coding RNA (1534 nucleotides) under Parus major (Great Tit). RNAcentral describes it as "lncRNA (ENSPMJG00000012312.1)". The record is from RNAcentral. Lineage: Eukaryota; Metazoa; Chordata; Aves; Passeriformes; Paridae.
AUGCCCAGAGGAAGGGGAGCAACAUGCAGGGCAGGAGGUGCCAGUAAGAAGGGCUUCCCAACCCCGAUGGGGAUGCCCACGCCUUGGAGCACCCACUGCCCUGUGCAGCACACAGGAGCAAGCUCCUCUUCUCCCACCCAGCUGUGCUGUGCAAGACUUGGCCUUCCACAAGGGAGCUGUGAUGCCCACAUCUUCCCAGCUAUGCCAACAGCAGCCUUCACCUCUCCAGAGCCCAACCAAGGCAGCUCCUCCACGUGGUGCCAGCAGGGAGAUCCCUGUGCUGCUCCAGCUGCAGCCCACAGCAAGCAGGUCCCCUGCUCACAGCAAGGAGAGGUCAGAGCUCUUUCUGUGCAAGCGCCGAGCGAGCAGCACGGGCACCCGACAUCUGCUGAUGGAUCCCGGGCCGGCACGCGAGAAAACGGCGGAUGGAAACAUGGAGCACAGAAUCCCUCCGUGGUGGAUCUGGCUAAGGGCAAGAUUGGGGGAACUGCCAUCAAAUUCAUGAUUUUUCUUCUGAGAUCAGCUUGGAAUUAAGCAUCUGAGGUGCUGUGUUUAAACCCGAACCUUUACACAUCCCUUCCCACUCCCCCCCGCCCCAGCACUGUGCUGCACAAACCCCAAGUUUCUUUGGAAGCAUUAUUUUAAGGAUAAGAUUUAAAGGACUCCUUUCAUAAAUAAUUGUGCUAUUAGGUUAUUUUUCUUUUAAUUUCCACAAAGGUGUUUUUUGUGCCUUGAGGACUAGAUCGAGAAGAGCUUUGGAGAAUGCUGUGAAGGCAGCCUGACUGAUAUUGCCAAUCAGCUCACACCUCUUCUUCCCGCCAGCCUCACGCUCGGCUGCCAAGCCUGUCCCAUGGCUUCCCGGGCAAUUAGUGCUUACAACACACAUCCACACAGCCAGCAGAACCACUCCAGCUUUCCAUGUGUCCUUGAUAACUUCCUGUGCUUUUUUAACACUUUGGUAGUAAUGAAAUGGCUGAUGAUAAUGACAAGCAUAAAAUCCCAGAGUGCAAGACCCAGAAACAUGUUUUUCUUCUAAGCAGCUGGUGUCGCUUGGUGGGACAGGUCUGAAUGGGUGAGCUUCACUCUGUAUGCCAAGCCCCCAUGCUCUUGGUAAUCAGACUGGCAUUAACUGGCUUCUUAGUGUGCACCUAGGGUGGUGUUUGCUUAGUUGGCUGGUUAUGGUAACUGAAAACCAGUCCAAAUCACUUCAGCCUUAGGUUUCCAGACCUUACUCCUUUAUUUCUAGAGCUUGUGUCUGAUUUUUUCUGUUUUCCAUGGACACAAAGCUCCACUGGGCUACCAUGACCUCUAGCACGUAGCUGUUCUUUCUUCUCAGCUCCCAGGACGCUCCUCAGCUUGACCUAAGGGAGGAGCAGCCUGAGCUGGUCUGGGACAGUGCUGGUGUGCAACAGGAACAGCAGGGACGAGGGGAGCUCACAGAGGGCAACACAGCAGCUGAUCCAGUGUGAAUUUCAAAGCUUUGCUCUUGAAAUGUUAAAAGACAAAGUUUAAGCAAGGCACUUUCCAUGACAAA